This 199-nucleotide ribosomal RNA is filed under the name uncultured bacterium. Its description in RNAcentral is "partial 16S ribosomal RNA". It matches the Rfam family "Bacterial small subunit ribosomal RNA", at positions 328 to 539 of the family's 1533-position model. The record is from RNAcentral.
ACGCUCGACACCUACGGGAGGGCAGCAGUGGGGAAUAUUGCACAAUGGGGGAAACCCUGAUGCAGCGACGCCGCGUGAAGGAAGAAGUAUUUCGGUAUGUAAACUUCUAUCAGCAGGGAAGAAACUGACGGUACCUGACUAAGAAGCACCGGCUAAAUACGUGCCAGCAGCCGCGGUAAUCUGAGCGGGCUGGCAAGGC